RNAcentral lists this long non-coding RNA (1229 nucleotides) under Homo sapiens (human). RNAcentral describes it as "HSALNT0371928". The record is from RNAcentral. Lineage: Eukaryota; Metazoa; Chordata; Mammalia; Primates; Hominidae.
ACCGCCGUAGGACCUAAGAUUGAUGCUGGAGAGGUUCUUCAGACCCUGCGUUCUGACGGCUCCGCUGGCACCACCCAGACGGGUAAACUAGCUCUUCCGGUCUGUGGCCCUCACAGGAACCGACUCGGUGCAGGAGGACAGCUUCAGCCCCUGUGAUUUCAUCCCCGACCAACCAGCCAGCACUCCCCACUCCCUAGCCCCCUGCCUGCCAAACUAUCUUUUAAAAAACUCCAGUUUCCAAAUUUUCAGGGAGGCUGAUUUGAGUAAUAAUAAAACUCCAGUCUCCUGCUAGCUGGCUCUGGAUGCACUAGACUCUAUUGCAAUUCUCCUGUCCUGAUAAAUCGGCUGUCAGGCAAGAAGAACCCGUUGGGUGGUUACAGUUUCAAGGCUAUAUUCAGAGAACUAUCCACUAAUAAAAUCUCUGUUUAUGCAGUAGGUCCCACCCCACACCCUCCCUGCUCAAACUGCUGCAAUCCCGGCACAGCUUUGUUGACAAUGUACCCAUCAGCCAACAAAAUGUAACAAAAUGCACUUUCUUUUAGUUAUCUCCUGCUACGUAAUAAACUUCCCCGGGAGGUGGAGGUUGCCAUGAGCCGAGAUUGCACCAUUGCACUCCAGCCUGGGCAACAAGAGCAAGACUCCGUCUCAAAAAUAAAUAAAUAAAUAAAUAAAUAAGCCUCCCCGGAGCUUGAUGGCCUAAAUAGCAAUCUACCGUGAGUGCUCAGGGCUCUGGAGUUGACUGGGCUGCGCUGGGUGCUUCCUGCCUAGGGUCUCCAGUGUGGUUGCAGCAAAUGCAGGCUGGAGCUGUCCAGCAUCUCUUUCUGAGUAGCCUCUCCACGCUCAGCUUGGACCCCCUCACAGCAUGGCUGCCAGGGUCAUCAAGCUUCUUGGCAGGCAGCUGGCCUCCCCUAGGACAAAUCCCACAAAGCUGAGGCAGGAGUUCCAGGGCUACUAAGACGCCGUCUCAGAGUCACAGUCUGCCACCUCCAGCUCAUGCCACUGGCUACACAGGCCCAGAGUCCGUGCGUCUGGGGAGGCACCAUCCUGAGAAGCCAUCUUACGAGUGAGAAGUGGGUGCCAGGAAAUGGGGUGCCACCAUGAUUAGCACCCCAAAUAUGUGCUGUCACCUUUGGAGUCACGCAGAACCUGGGGGCCUCCAGGAGUCUACGGGGGAUGGUGGGAAGGCUGGGGAGGAGGAUGGGAAGGAGACCCCCGCUGAGGGCAGGCGG